Molecule: ribosomal RNA, 373 nt
Filed under: uncultured organism
Description: bacterial SSU rRNA
Rfam family: Bacterial small subunit ribosomal RNA
Source: RNAcentral
CGAACCGUCCAAACGUUAUUCGGAAUUACUGGGCUUAAAGGGUAUGUAGGCGGCGCUGUUAGUCGGGUGUGAAAGCCCUCGGCUCAACCGAGGAAUUGCGCCCGAUACUGCAGUGCUUGAGGGAGACAGAGGUAAGCGGAACUGAUGGUGGAGCGGUGAAAUGCGUUGAUAUCAUCAGGAACACCGGUGGCGAAAGCGGCUUACUGGGUCUCUUCUGACGCUGAGAUACGAAAGCUAGGGGAGCGAAGGGGAUUAGAUACCCCCGUAGUCCUAGCUGUAAACGUUGAGCACUUGAUCGGGGACCCCCCCACUAGGUUCUCGGUCGUAGCGAAAGUGUUAAGUGCUCCGCCUGGGGAGUAUGGUCGCAAGGCUG